ACAAGCGGUGGAGCAUGUGGUUAAUUCGAUGAUACGCGAGGAACCUUACCUGGGCUCAAAUGUAUGUUGACGUAUUCUGAAAGGGAUACUUCUUCGGACAAUAUACAAGGUGCUGCAUGGUUGUCGUCAGCUCGUGCCGUGAGGUGUCGGGUUAAGUCCCAUAACGAGCGCAACCCCUACCUUUAGUUGCCAUCAGGUUAAGCUGGGGACUCUAAAGGAACUGCCUACGCAAGUAGUGAGGAAGGCGGGGAUGACGUCAAAUCAGCACGGCCCUUACGUCCAGGGCUACACACGUGCUACAAUGGCCGAUACAGAGGGCAGCUACCUGGUGACAGGAUGCAAAUCUCCAAAGUCGGUCUCAGUUCGGAUCGGAGUCUGCAACCCGACUCCGUGAAGUUGGAUUCGCUAGUAAUCGCGCAUCAGCCAUGGCGCGGUGAAUACGUUCCCGGGCCUU
Molecule: ribosomal RNA, 454 nt
Filed under: uncultured Sphingobacteriales bacterium
Lineage: Bacteria; Pseudomonadati; Bacteroidota; Sphingobacteriia; Sphingobacteriales
Description: bacterial SSU rRNA
Rfam family: Bacterial small subunit ribosomal RNA
Source: RNAcentral